UAUACGGCGUACUUCUACACACCCACCCUCCUGCCUACGCUGCAGAUGGAUUUGAGCUUUACUGUCAUAUGGUCCACCGUGUUAAUAUGCAUUUUCUCGCCACUGUGGUCCUGCUGGCAGACUGGACUUUCCUCCUCACCCUGCACUGCUAUUGGUUCUGAACCCCCGUUUCCGAUUGCGGUCCGCAAGGAUACCUAGCCCCCUCCUACACAUUGACUCUAUCUACGCUCCAGAGGGGAUAGUUCGAGCGCGAACACCACCCGUUCUAUGAGCGACUGUCAUCACUUCUACAUCCUCUCGCCGAUGGCGUCCUGCUGGCAGACUACGUCCCUCCUCACCCUGCACCAGUACUGGUUCUGAACUGCUGUUCCCGAUUGCGGCCUAGAAGGAUACCUAGCCACCUCCUGCACACUGAUUCUUUGGUCUACGCUCUAGAAAUUACUUUGAGUGCGAGCACCACCCGUUCCAUAAGCGGCUGUCAUCACUUCAUCAUCUCGUUGAUGGCGUCCUGCUGGUAUAUUGGACUUCGCCUAGCGCUCUUGCACUUAAUUUUGGUAUGACAUGCACACGACAGUACUGCGACUGUUUACGACUGACCAAGAGGCCUUGUGUCAUUUCAGAUUGCCAGUGUUUGUAUCGCUUGUAGGGCAAGAGCACCAUUGUGUGGGGCAAGAGCACCAAAUGUUCCCACAUGAUCAUUUAGAAGAACCUUCUUGUCGUGACCUCAAAAGUGACUGUCUUCAGCUCGAUCGCCAGGCCUCACUCUUUCAGCGCACUCCUACCGAUCUGUGAAAUGUGUCGUACAUCUACGUCUUGGCUGUAUCCUGCAGUGUGUUAGCGGCGUGUUAAAUUCUGAAGGACUGCGUGUCAUCGCCAUCCCGCAACCGUCCAUUGGAUGUACCACUACAGUUUUUCACUGUUGCCUUUUUAAGCAGGCACAAUGUAUAAGAUUAGUAUAGCAGCCUUUUCUGCUUUGAAAGAGUGUUACGUUGCACAGCGAAUAAGUGGCGAUUCUAGCAGUUAAGAUAAUACGAAGCAGAGCAGUAAAAAUGUCUAGUUACGUGGAGACAACGCACUUAUUCAUGAGGUUUGUUGAUGUCUGCAUGAGUUUAUAUAUUUGGAGGCGAGAGUAAUAUACAUUCAUUCACAUUGUGCACUAUCGUAGUAGUAGAUUAAUAGUGUUUGUGCGUGUGUUAUCCAUCCAUGCGCGCGUUUUGGUUGAUUUAGUGUGUACAUACCUAUUCUGUGCUCCUUUUUUGGUUGAGAACACAUGUAUGACCAAGCCUCGCUGCUGUUCUUGCACCUCGAAUUCGUUUUUUUUUUGUGUAACAUUUCCGGCGUUACCGUUGCGUCUGCAAAACCCGCUAACGGUUCAUUUUUUUCCUAGUUCAUCCCGGUUGAAAUGCGCUUGGUUUGACAGUUUACUAUCUUCUAGGUAUCAGCUUUUGGAUUGGUUGAACCACUCGUUUCUUCGGUUUUCGUCCGUGUGUUGAUCUCAGUGCUCGUUUCAGCAUUCAGCUGAUUUGUUCAGGCGUCUUUCUCGUGCAGAAGGGCAGCGGAAUGGGCGAGUUGGUGUUGCAUGGUAACUAUA
This is a long non-coding RNA of Dermacentor andersoni, 1591 nucleotides long. RefSeq lists it as uncharacterized. Lineage: Eukaryota; Metazoa; Arthropoda; Arachnida; Ixodida; Ixodidae. The record is from RefSeq and is a predicted model, not a curated record.